This 869-nucleotide ribosomal RNA is filed under the name marine metagenome. RNAcentral describes it as "bacterial SSU rRNA". It matches the Rfam family "Bacterial small subunit ribosomal RNA", at positions 416 to 1280 of the family's 1533-position model. The record is from RNAcentral.
UUUCGGGUUGUAAAGCACUUUAAGUAAGGAGAAAAAGAUUGUAGUUAAUACCUGCAAUCCGUGAUGUUACUUACAGAAUAAGGACCGGCUAAUUCCGUGCCAGCAGCCGCGGUAAUACGGAAGGUCCAAGCGUUAAUCGGAAUUACUGGGCGUAAAGCGCGCGUAGGUGGUUUUUUAAGUUGGAUGUGAAAGCCCUGGGCUCAACCUAGGAACUGCAUCCAAAACUAGAUGACUAGAGUACGAAAGAGGGAAGUAGAAUUCACAGUGUAGCGGUGGAAUGCGUAGAUAUUGUGAAGAAUACCAAUGGCGAAGGCAGCUUCCUGGUUCUGUACUGACACUGAGGUGCGAAAGCGUGGGUAGCGAACAGGAUUAGAUACCCUGGUAGUCCACGCCGUAAACGAUGACAACUAGCUGUUGGGAGACAAGAUCUCUCAGUGGCGCAGCUAACGCUUUAAGUUGUCCGCCUGGGGAGUACGGCCGCAAGGUUAAAACUCAAAUGAAUUGACGGGGACCCGCACAAGCGGUGGAGCAUGUGGUUUAAUUCGAUGCAACGCGAAAAACCUUACCUACUCUUGACAUACUUGGAAGCUCUUGUAAUGAGAGUGUGCUUUUAGAGCCAAGAUACAGGUGCUGCAUGGCUGUCGUCAGCUCGUGUCGUGAGAUGUUGGGUUAAGUCCCAUAACGAGCGCAACCCUUACCCUUAUUUGCCAGCGGUUCGGCCGGGAACUAUAAGGGGACUGCCGGUGACAAACCGGAGGAAGGUGAGGACGACGUCAAGUCAUCAUGGCCCUUACGAGUAGGGCUACACACGUGCUACAAUGGGGAAUACAGACGGACGCUAAAGCGUGAGCUGGUGCUAAUCCUAAAAA